Molecule: signal recognition particle RNA, 97 nt
Filed under: Deltaproteobacteria bacterium
Lineage: Bacteria; Pseudomonadati; Myxococcota; Myxococcia
Description: signal recognition particle sRNA small type
Rfam family: Bacterial small signal recognition particle RNA
About the family: The signal recognition particle (SRP) is a universally conserved ribonucleoprotein involved in the co-translational targeting of proteins to membranes. Archaeal SRP consists of a 7S RNA and homologues of the eukaryotic SRP19 and SRP54 proteins.
Source: RNAcentral
AGCCGGAUCCCAAACAACAAAUGCCGUGUGAACCCCGCCAGGUCCGGAAGGAAGCAACGGUAGCAGGGAUUUUGUGUGUUUGGUGUAUCCGGCUCUU